This 855-nucleotide ribosomal RNA is filed under the name uncultured cyanobacterium. RNAcentral describes it as "bacterial SSU rRNA". It matches the Rfam family "Bacterial small subunit ribosomal RNA", at positions 527 to 1382 of the family's 1533-position model. Lineage: Bacteria; Bacillati; Cyanobacteriota. The record is from RNAcentral.
GGGAGUGGCAAGCGUUAUCCGGAAUUAUUGGGCGUAAAGCGUCCGCAGGCGGCCCUUCAAGUCUGCUGUUAAAAAGUGGAGCUUAACUCCAUCAUGGCAGUGGAAACUGUUGGGCUUGAGUAUGGUAGGGGCAGAGGGAAUUCCCGGUGUAGCGGUGAAAUGCGUAGAUAUCGGGAAGAACACCAGUGGCGAAGGCGCUCUGCUGGGCCAUUACUGACGCUCAUGGACGAAAGCCAGGGGAGCGAAAGGGAUUAGAUACCCCUGUAGUCCUGGCCGUAAACGAUGAACACUAGGUGUCGGGGGAAUCGACCCCUUCGGUGUCGUAGCUAACGCGUUAAGUGUUCCGCCUGGGGAGUACGCACGCAAGUGUGAAACUCAAAGGAAUUGACGGGGGCCCGCACAAGCGGUGGAGUAUGUGGUUUAAUUCGAUGCAACGCGAAGAACCUUACCAGGGUUUGACAUCCUGCGAACCUCUUAGAAAUUUGAGGGUGCCUUCGGGAAUGCAGUGACAGGUGGUGCAUGGCUGUCGUCAGCUCGUGUCGUGAGAUGUUGGGUUAAGUCCCGCAACGAGCGCAACCCACGUUUUUAGUUGCCAGCAUUUAGUUGGGCACUCUAGAAAGACCGCCGGUGAUAAACCGGAGGAAGGUGUGGAUGACGUCAAGUCAUCAUGCCCCUUACACCCUGGGCUACACACGUACUACAAUGCUACGGACAAAGGGCAGCAAACUCGCGAGAGCUAGCAAAUCCCAUAAACCGUAGCUCAGUUCAGAUCGUAGGCUGCAACUCGCCUACGUGAAGUAGGAAUCGCUAGUAAUCGCAGGUCAGCAUACUGCGGUGAAUACGUUCCCGGGCCUU